Molecule: long non-coding RNA, 3583 nt
Organism: Myotis daubentonii (Daubenton's bat)
Lineage: Eukaryota; Metazoa; Chordata; Mammalia; Chiroptera; Vespertilionidae
Exons: 5
Source: RefSeq, a predicted model, not a curated record
CAGCAGAUACUGAAGCUGUUAAUGGUAAAUUCAUACUUACAAUGUUACAAAAAUAAGAUUCUGAUUAUGUAACAAAAGAUUGUUUUAGGUUGAAGAAGUAAAUAAUAGUAAGAAUAAGGACUUUUGCAAAAACCAAGGCUUAUAAGGACAUGUAAGAACAGAGCCCUUUGAACUAUCAAGUUGAAAUAACUGCAGAAUUCUACCAAGGACAUCUGCAGAACAAAAAUAAAUAAUAAAGGGAUAUUUCUUUCUUAUUGACAACGUAUCACAGGACCCAAUGGCUGUGUACCUCCGAUUACUGAUCAUGACGUUUCCGUUUUAGAAAAAUGAAACGAGGCUAUCGAUGCCACCUGAGUUUGAAAGGACCAUUGUCUGCCACAGCACCUAAAUGCAAAGGACUUCCUUCUGACACGAGGCUUGUGGUGAUGUGAAAGGGAAAUGAGGGUCCCUACUGGGACUGGGAACAUCGUCACAUUUGUGAGGCCAACUGCCACACUCCUGCUUUUCUUGUUCCCUGACAAGACUUGUCCCAGUCCUUUCUCCUGGGAAGCCUUUGACAGCAAUUGCAAACAACAGAAGCCAGCAGGACCAUGUAAGAACAGGUGCUGGAGCCUCCCGGGGCGGCCUGCCUGCAGAGAAAGGGCCUCCUCCGCGCAGCCCUGGGACACCCCACUGCGGAGGUGCCCUCUGGCCCCCAGCCACUGCAGGAUCAUGCUUCUUUUUACACAACAGAUGUUUGGAAAGAUUGGUGACAAUGCAUUAUGGCUUCUAAGUUGCUGCUGUCUUCAGACGAUCAGAGAAAGUAUUUGAUGGUGAAAGACAGAAAACUGAAUAAUGUCAUCAAAAUUUGCCUUUUGUCUUGUGCUGUUGCAGCUACUUUUCUUGGUAAGUCAGUGGUGUUAAAGACAUGUUGUUGUACAACCAAUCUCCAGAACUCUUUUUAUCUUGCAAAAGAAACUCAGCACUCAUUAAACAACUCCCCAUUGCCCCUUCCCCAACCUCUGUCAACCAUCAUUCUACUUCUGUCUUUGAAUUUGACUACUCUAGCUAUCUCAUACAAAUGGAAUCAUGCAGUAUUUGCUUUUUUGUGACUGGCUUAUUUCAUGGUUCAUCCAUGUUGUAAUAUGUGUCAGAAUUUCCUUUUUUUUUUAAGGCUGAACAGUUCCAGUGUAUGUACAUAUCACAUUUUAUUUAUUUAUGCAUCCACAGAUGGACACUGGGUUGCUUCCACCUUUUGGCAAUUGUAAAAAAAGGCUGCUUUGAAUAUAGAUGCACAACCUUUGGUGGCUUUAUUUUUUUCAUUAUUAUUUCUUUUAAUCCUCACCCAAGUAUAUGUUUUUUAAAUUAUUUUAGAAAGAGAGGAAAGGAGAGAGAGAGAGAGAGAAAGAAAAAAAAACAACAUUGAUAGGAGAGAGAAAUAUUGAUCAGUUGCCUCUCAUUCGUCCCCCAAGUAGGGACCAAACCGCAACCUGGGUAUGUGCCCUGACCAGCAAUUUUACGAGUCAUGGGACGAUGCUCCAACUGAGUCACAUAGGGCAAGGCACCUUCACUUGUUUUAGAAUGUGAUUGUUGCAUGCUACAGAGUAAAUAAAGAUCACAGCAUAUACUGGAUUUAAAAAAUCACAUAAAAUUGCAGCAAUAAAAACAUUAGCCAAUGUUUGUCAAGUGCUUACUAUGUGCCAGGCACUGAACCAUGAACAUCACUGGUAUUAACUCUUUGAGAAAUGUACUAUUAUUAUCCUUAUUUCAUAGAAGUGAAAAGUGAAGCACAGAGAGGUUGGUUAACUUGUCCAAAGUCACUCAGCUAGUAUGUCACUAGGAUGCAAAUCUGAGAAAUGGGAGGCAAGAGUCUGUCCACUUGGUGGAGGAAAAAAAUCACAGCCAAAGCCAAGUAGUGAAGAACUCCUUGACCACUGCAAAGGGUGUGGCCUGGCCAAAAGAGCAUUCUGACAGGAGCCAGAAAAACCAUUUCUAUCACCACCUACCUGUAGGACUCCUAACAAGACAACUACUCUCUACGGGCUCAGUGCUGUAAAAGGGAAGUUGAAUUGGGUGUCCUAUGGCCUGUGGUUUCUAACAAUCCUUCAUUCCAAAUGAGACUUACUACCUAAUACUUUAUAACUUUGAGCAUCGUUUCACCUACUUGGAGAUAAUGAUGUAAUUUUAAAUUUUUAAAUGUGUGCUUAUGUCUCUAAGUUUUGAUAAUGAAUAGUUUCUGAUUCUCAUUCCACUAUAUCCAGUCGUACCUCUCUAACGAAACUAAAAUGUAAGAAUGCAAUGACAGGACCCAUAAGAAUGUAUGAGGUAAAAUGAGGUUUCUCCUCCAGAGGGUCUCUAGGUGUGUCUACCCCAACAAAAGCAAAGUAGAGAAUUGUGACCAGUGCUCAUUUAAUAUAUAGUCACAUAAUUAGGAUCAUAUAAUCCCCAACGCCCUGCCACUGAGUCCCCAAUGAGAGGAGUGAAUCUGAAUGAAUCCACGUUUUCCUCUUCACUGUCAAAAUCUAUCACUUUAUUGUAUCUCUAAAAACAUGAUUGUAGAGAAGUACCCUCACCAUCAUAAAUAGUUUUACUAGCUCUUGUGGUUCUAUGGUGAUGAAUUUAUGUUAUAGAUCUUUCUGUGUUCAUUUUCAGAGCACAACCCUAAUUCUUAUUGUAGUGAUUAAAUUGGACCAGAGGAAACAAAGGAAAAAUAUUUCUCAAAGAAAAAAUUUUAAAGCAUUUUAAAAAUUCUGACAUCCUAAUGAAGAGCAUUUGAAUGCCAUUGACCUAAUUUAUAAGUAGGUGCAUGUUUGGAAACUCGUGAAGAACACUUGCCAGAAAAGGCCUCGUAAGCCAGGCUCCAAAGAAGCCUUGAAUUGUUUGAAUUCUGUGCAAAUCAAGUGACAAAUGCUUAUUUAACCAAAGUCCAUGAAUUUCAAAUAGAGUUCAGACAAGUGAUAGAUCAGGUCUGUAUUUUUUAUAAGUAAUAUCGGCAGGUAAAGUACAAUAUUAAUUUUUAAAAAUGUUUUCAUUUACUUUUAGCCAGCAUUUACAGCAGGGUUGAUGAUUUUAUUUUAAACCAAAUUAUUACAACGGAAGCAUCCUCCAUAUUCCAAUUCAUGAAUUGCUAUUUGACAGACAGUAACUACAUUCAUCCUUUAGCCAAGCUAGAGGAUUCUGUGAUACAUACUGUAUCUUCCAUUUGUGGUUUCAGAAGGUGCAAAUUCUCUAAAUCAGACAGAAGAGGGAGCUAACCAUCUGGAAAUUAACUGAUCCUUUCAGCCAUAUGUCAAAUAAAUAUAGAAAAAAAUUCUAAUAUGAUCAAGUCUGUCUUUGUUUGGUCUUGUAUUUUAUAGCAAAACUAUAAAUUUUCUGGUACAUAAAAACAAGAAGAAGAAAAAAACAGCCAGCAAAGGCAAAAAACAUUGAACUAAAUUAAUGAACAGGCAAAAUAUACAAAACAUUAAAAGGUCAAUUAAAAAUACACUCAAAUUUUAUGAUUUGCUCUCACGUUUUAUAGUAAAAUGUAGAAUCAGAAUACCUCCCCAAAAAGGCCAAAAUAAUAUUGUAUUCCAUACACAUCAUCAGUAUUUCCUUGCAAUAA